Molecule: non-coding RNA, 787 nt
Filed under: Scaptodrosophila lebanonensis
Lineage: Eukaryota; Metazoa; Arthropoda; Insecta; Diptera; Drosophilidae
Source: RNAcentral
AUAAAGUUUUAUUUUGGCUUAAAAAUUUGUUAUUAAUUUGAUUUAUAUGUAAAUUUUUGUGUGAAAAUUAAUUUAUUUUAAAAAUUAGUUAUUUUAUUUUAUUCGCAGUAAUUAAUAUUAUUAAUUAAAGAAAUUUAGAAAUAGCAAUAUUAAAGAGUAUUGGUAAAAUUGGUGCCAGCAACUGCGGUUAUACCAAUAAUACAAAUAAAUUUUUUUAGAUAAAGUUAAAUUGUUUUUAUUUAAAUAAAAUUAAGUUUAUUAAGUGAAAUUUUAAAUUUAAAAAUUUUUAUAAUAAUAAAUAUUGAAACUAAAAAAUUUUUUGUAAAAACUAGGAUUAGAUACCCUAUUAUUAAAAAUGUAAAAUUAGUAUCUGGAGUAGUAAUUGUUAUGUUCUUGAAACUUAAAAAAUUUGGCGGUAUUUUAGUCUAUCCAGAGGAACCUGUUUUGUAAUCGAUAAUCCACGAUGGACCUUACUUAAAUUUGUUAUUCAAUUUAUAUACCGUCGUUAUCAGAAUAUUUUAUAAGAAUAAUAAUAUUCAAUAAUUUUUAAUAGAAUUUAUAUCAGAUCAAGGUGUAGUUUAUAUUUAAGUAAUAAUGGGUUACAAUAAAUUUAUUUAUAUGGAUAAAAUUAUGAAAAGAUUUUUGAAAGUGGAUUUGGUAGUAAAAUUAUAAAGAUAAAUAAUUUGAUUUUAGCUCUAAAAUAUGUACACAUCGCCCGUCGCUCUUAUUAUUAAGGUAAGAUAAGUCGUAACAUAGUAGGUGUACUGGAAAGUGUACCUAGAAUGAC